Molecule: ribosomal RNA, 496 nt
Filed under: uncultured bacterium
Lineage: Bacteria
Description: partial 16S ribosomal RNA
Rfam family: Bacterial small subunit ribosomal RNA
Source: RNAcentral
AUGAACGCUGGCGGCGUGCCUAAUCCAUGCAAGUCGCGCGAACAGACGAGGAGCUUGCUCCUCUGACGUUAGCGGCGGACGGGUGAGUAACACGUGGAUAACCUACCUAUAAGACUGGGAUAACUUCGGGAAACCGGAGCUAAUACCGGAUAAUAUAUUGAACCGCAUGGUUCAAUAGUGAAAGACGGUUUUGCUGUCACUUAUAGAUGGAUCCGCGCCGCAUUAGCUAGUUGGUAAGGUAACGGCUUACCAAGGCGACGAUGCGUAGCCGACCUGAGAGGGUGAUCGGCCACACUGGAACUGAGACACGGUCCAGACUCCUACGGGAGGCAGCAGUAGGGAAUCUUCCGCAAUGGGCGAAAGCCUGACGGAGCAACGCCGCGUGAGUGAUGAAGGUCUUCGGAUCGUAAAACUCUGUUAUUAGGGAAGAACAAAUGUGUAAGUAACUAUGCACGUCUUGACGGUACCUAAUCAGAAAGCCACGGCCAACUACGUG